This is a non-coding RNA of Pogona vitticeps (central bearded dragon), 509 nucleotides long. The record is from the annotation of a RefSeq genome assembly. NCBI's taxonomy places the organism in Eukaryota, Metazoa, Chordata, Lepidosauria, Squamata, Agamidae.
UAUAGCAGCUCAAAAGCUUUGGCAGAGGCAAGGUUUGACGCAGUAGGAAAACCCACCUCUCUUCCCAUUUGUGGUUCCUUCCUCACCCCUCAAAAAGGAUGCAUUAUUUUCUCCUCUCGCUCGUGCUGUUUGGAAUGAGAACCUAUGUCAAUUCUCAGGUGACCUUGGGCCAGGACCCUUCCGUGCAGCUGAAGCCUUCAGAGACCCUCCGGUUGACCUGCUCCAUUUCUGGUUUCUCCCUCACUGAGUAUGCGACUGCUGUGAGCUGGAUUCGCCAGCCCUUUGGGAAAGGACUUGAAUGGCUCUCCCUUGUCUUUUGGGAUGACGACAAGCGCUACUCCAGCACCCUGAAAAACCGGCUCACAAUUUCCAGAGAUGUUUCCAAGAGUGAAGUUUACUUGGAGUUCAGAGGCAUGGGGACAGGAGAUUCUGGCACAUAUUACUGUGCCCGUAGAGACACAGCGUGCAAAAGCAACGGGGAACCUGGACAAAAACCAGCUCUACAAUGA